This 50-nucleotide ribosomal RNA is filed under the name Trametes suaveolens. Its description in RNAcentral is "partial 28S ribosomal RNA". The record is from RNAcentral. Lineage: Eukaryota; Fungi; Basidiomycota; Agaricomycetes; Polyporales; Polyporaceae.
UCUGACCUCAAAUCAGGUAGGACUACCCGCUGAACUUAAGCAUAUCAAUA